This 30-nucleotide small RNA is filed under the name Bombyx mori (domestic silkworm). RNAcentral's name for it is "ovarian small RNA-12376". The record is from RNAcentral. Lineage: Eukaryota; Metazoa; Arthropoda; Insecta; Lepidoptera; Bombycidae.
AUAGUCGAGAAGCACCCAGGUCCUGAUAAA